This 924-nucleotide ribosomal RNA is filed under the name Sphingopyxis alaskensis. RNAcentral describes it as "bacterial SSU rRNA". It matches the Rfam family "Bacterial small subunit ribosomal RNA", at positions 414 to 1354 of the family's 1533-position model. The record is from RNAcentral. Lineage: Bacteria; Pseudomonadati; Pseudomonadota; Alphaproteobacteria; Sphingomonadales; Sphingopyxidaceae.
GCCUUAGGGUUGUCAAGCUCUUUUACCCGGGAUUAUAAUGACAGUACCCGGAGAAUAAGCUCCAGCUAACUCCGUGCCUGCCUCCGCAGUAAUACCGAGGGAGCUACCUUUGUUCGGAAUUACUGGGCGUAAAGCGCGCGUAGGCGGUUUUUUAAGUCAGACGUGAAAACCCGGGGCUCAACCCCGGAAUUGCCUUUGAAACUGGAAAACUUGAAUCUUGGAUAGGUCAGUGGAAUUCCCAGUGUAGAGGUGAAAUUCGUAGAUUUUCAGAACAACACCAGUGGCGAAAGCCACUGACUGGACGAGUAUUGACGCUGACGUGCGAAAGCCUGGGGAGCAAACAGGAUUAUAUACCCUGGUAGUCCACGCCGUAAACGAUGAUAACUAGCUGUCCAGGUUCAUGGAACUUGGGUGGCGCAACUUACGCAUUAAGUUAUCCGCCUGGCGAGUACGGUCGCAAGAUUAAAACUCAAAGGAAUUGACGGGGGCCUGCACCAACGGUGGAGCCUGUGGUUUAAUUCGAAGCAACGCGCAGAACCUUACCCGCGUUUGACCUCGUUAUCGCUGAUUAGAGAGAUCUUUUCUUUCAGUUCGGCUGGAUCAGCGACAGGUGCUGCAUGGCUGUCGUCAGCUCUUGUCAUGAGAUGUUGGGUUUAGUCCCGCAACGAGCGCAACCCUCAUCCGUAGUCACCAUCAAUCAGUUGGGCAUUAUAAGGAAACUCCCGGGGAUAAUCCGGAGGAAGGGGGGGAGGACGUCAAGUCUUCAUGGCCCUUACUCGCUGGGUUACACCCGUGUUCCAAGGGCAAUUCCAGUGGGCAGGGACCUCGGGAGAGGUAGUUAUUCUCCAAAAGUUGUCUCAGUUCGGAUUGUUGUCUGCAACUCGAGAGCAUGAAGGCGGAAUCGCUAGUAAUCGCGGAUCAGCA